Molecule: non-coding RNA, 23 nt
Filed under: Rattus norvegicus (Norway rat)
Lineage: Eukaryota; Metazoa; Chordata; Mammalia; Rodentia; Muridae
Source: RNAcentral
UGCAAAGUUAAAAUAGGCAAAGG